UGGGGAAUUUUGGACAAUGGGGGAAACCCUGAUCCAGCCAUCCCGCGUGUGCGAUGAAGGCCUUCGGGUUGUAAAGCACUUUUGGCAGGAAAGAAACGUCAUGGGUUAAUACCCCGUGAAACUGACGGUACCUGCAGAAUAAGCACCGGCUAACUACGUGCCAGCAGCCGCGGUAAUACGUAGGGUGCAAGCGUUAAUCGGAAUUACUGGGCGUAAAGCGUGCGCAGGCGGUUCGGAAAGAAAGAUGUGAAAUCCCAGAGCUCAACCUUAGAACUGCAUUUUUAACUACCGGGCUAGAGUGUGUCAGAGGGAGGUGGAAUUCCGCGUGUAGCAGUGAAAUGCGUAGAUAUGCGGAGGAACACCGAUGGCGAAGGCAGCCUCCUGGGAUAACACUGACGCUCAUGCACGAAAGCGUGGGGAGCAAACAGG
Molecule: ribosomal RNA, 429 nt
Filed under: Acidobacteriota bacterium
Lineage: Bacteria; Pseudomonadati; Acidobacteriota
Description: Acidobacteria bacterium partial 16S ribosomal RNA
Rfam family: Bacterial small subunit ribosomal RNA
Source: RNAcentral